RNAcentral lists this ribosomal RNA (206 nucleotides) under uncultured bacterium. RNAcentral describes it as "partial 16S ribosomal RNA". It matches the Rfam family "Bacterial small subunit ribosomal RNA", at positions 568 to 773 of the family's 1533-position model. The record is from RNAcentral.
AGCGUAGGCGGCGUGGUAAGUCAGAUGUGAAAUCCCGGGGCUCAACCCCGGAACUGCAUCCGAUACUGCCGUGCUAGAGGAUUGGAGAGGUAGCUGGAAUUCACGGUGUAGCAGUGAAAUGCGUAGAUAUCGUGAGGAACACUCGUGGCGAAAGCGAGCUACUGGACAACUCCUGACGCUGAGGCUCGAAGGCCAGGGUAGCGAAA